This 85-nucleotide transfer RNA is filed under the name Felis catus (domestic cat). It matches the Rfam family "tRNA". Rfam says of the family: Transfer RNA (tRNA) molecules are approximately 80 nucleotides in length. Their secondary structure includes four short double-helical elements and three loops (D, anti-codon, and T loops). Further hydrogen bonds mediate the characteristic L-shaped molecular structure. tRNAs have two regions of fundamental functional importance: the anti-codon, which is responsible for specific mRNA codon recognition, and the 3' end, to which the tRNAs corresponding amino acid is attached (by aminoacyl-tRNA synthetases). tRNAs cope with the degeneracy of the genetic code in two manners: having more than one tRNA (with a specific anti-codon) for a particular amino acid; and 'wobble' base-pairing, i.e. permitting non-standard base-pairing at the 3rd anti-codon position. The record is from Rfam by way of RNAcentral. RNAcentral also lists the same sequence under 1 other name. Lineage: Eukaryota; Metazoa; Chordata; Mammalia; Carnivora; Felidae.
GCCUGGGUGGCUCAGUUGGUUGAGCAUCUGACUUUAGCUCAGGUCAUGAUCUCCCAUCUCGUGAGUUCGAGCCCCACAUUGGGUU